RNAcentral lists this long non-coding RNA (654 nucleotides) under Homo sapiens (human). RNAcentral describes it as "long intergenic non-protein coding RNA 1736". Lineage: Eukaryota; Metazoa; Chordata; Mammalia; Primates; Hominidae. The record is from RNAcentral.
AUUCCAAGGGAGAGAAGAAAGCAACCCCAGGAAGCCUGGCCCCGAAGACUGUGAGGUAUGGUGGGGCCUUGCUGUGCUCUGGACUGGACAAGAGGCACCCUGGGCUCUGGACACAGCCAGAUCUUCAGCCAAUUGCAUCUCCGGCCCAGGGCAGGCCCUUUAUCUUAUAGCCCAGUGGUGCCUCUCUCCUCACCUAGGAAACAAAGCCAACAGGAUCUGCACCACCUCUGCCUCCCGGACAUUGGAAGGACUAAAUAAGAUCAGAGACCUCAUUCCUAGAUGGAACGAGGAAUGGUAGCGACCACGAUCCUCCCCUCCCAGGAUCUGCGCCACAAGGGAAGAUCAGAACCUUCAGCUGCCAGAAGCACUGUGGCGGAAAUGUAGGUCCCCAUCCAGGCUGAUCUGAGCUUGGCUUUCUGGAGCACGCAAACCUCGAUGCACUGAACUGCUGCCGGACCUCACCUUGCCAGGCCCACUGUGCUCACACUCACACAUCGCUCCAUCCACUGGAGGCUGCAGAGGCAAGAUCCACCAAGAAGAUGGUCUUCCUGUCCAGGAUGCCCUUCCCUGAGAGAAGUGUAUUUAAUCUUAAAUUCAGAUGUUUGUUUGUCUACCCACUUAAAACACCCUGUUGAAUAAAAAUUACUCAAGGAA